UAGAAAAGGUGAUUUUGAUUUAAAAAAAGAAAGAUUGCUGAAAUUACUGACAGUAGAAAAAGAAAAAAAACUUAUGUUGAUUGCAAUAGGGUUUAACCACUUGAGGUAAGGAUUUUAACUCUAAACUAGAUUUAAAUUGAACCUUGAAUAAUUACUAUCAAAUUUGAUGUUUUGGUGAAUCAAAUUAGGAAUUUAAACUUGAAUUAGAGGAUGAAUUGUUGUUGCCAAUUUUACUGAAACUAGUCUGAAAUAUUUUAGCAA
RNAcentral lists this long non-coding RNA (261 nucleotides) under Elaeis guineensis (African oil palm). RNAcentral's name for it is "long non-coding RNA (EGUI_LNC041587)". The record is from RNAcentral. Lineage: Eukaryota; Viridiplantae; Streptophyta; Magnoliopsida; Arecales; Arecaceae.